AAUAGUUAAAACAAUGACAUAUUUACUACACAACAAAACAUAAGAGGAUUAAAAGCUAAAGAAUAACAGUAAAAACUGAGCGACUAAGAAGCUAAAAAAUAUGCAUUUUAUGUCUCUUUAGCUUCUUCGGGGUAGGGGGCAGUAUUCGAACGUUUGGAUGAAUGAGGUGAAACUGCCUGUUACUCAGGCCCAGAAGCUAGGAUAUGCAUAUGCAUGAGGUGCCCAAUGUAAACUGCCUGUUACUCAGGCCCAGAAGCUAGGAUAUGCAUAUGCAUGAGGUGCCCAAUGUAAACUGCCUGUUACUCAGGCCCAGAAGCUAGGAUAUGCAUAUGCAUGAGGUGCCCAAUGUAAACUGCCUGUUACUCAGGCCCAGAAGCUAGGAUAUGCAUAUGCAUGAGGUGCCCAAUGUAAACUGCCUGUUACUCAGGCCCAGAAGCUAGGAUAUGCAUAUGCAUGAGGUGCCCAAUGUAAACUGCCUGUUACUCAGGCCCAGAAGCUAGGAUAUGCAUAUGCAUGAGGUGCCCAAUGUAAACUGCCUGUUACUCAGGCCCAGAAGCUAGGAUAUGCAUAUGCAUGAGGUGCCCAAUGUAAACUGCCUGUUACUCAGGCCCAGAAGCUAGGAUAUGCAUAUGCAUGAGGUGCCCAAUGUAAACUGCCUGUUACUCAGGCCCAGAAGCUAGGAUAUGCAUAUGCAUGAGGUGCCCAAUGUAAACUGCCUGUUACUCAGGCCCAGAAGCUAGGAUAUGCAUAUGCAUGAGGUGCCCAAUGUAAACUGCCUGUUACUCAGGCCCAGAAGCUAGGAUAUGCAUAUGCAUGAGGUGCCCAAUGUAAACUGCCUGUUACUCAGGCCCAGAAGCUAGGAUAUGCAUAUGCAUGAGGUGCCCAAUGUAAACUGCCUGUUACUCAGGCCCAGAAGCUAGGAUAUGCAUAUGCAUGAGGUGCCCAAUGUAAACUGCCUGUUACUCAGGCCCAGAAGCUAGGAUAUGCAUAUGCAUGAGGUGCCCAAUGUAAACUGCCUGUUACUCAGGCCCAGAAGCUAGGAUAUGCAUAUGCAUGAGGUGCCCAAUGUAAACUGCCUGUUACUCAGGCCCAGAAGCUAGGAUAUGCAUAUGCAUGAGGUGCCCAAUGUAAACUGCCUGUUACUCAGGCCCAGAAGCUAGGAUAUGCAUAUGCAUGAGGUGCCCAAUGUAAACUGCCUGUUACUCAGGCCCAGA
This is a long non-coding RNA of Oncorhynchus keta (chum salmon), 1214 nucleotides long. RefSeq lists it as uncharacterized. NCBI's taxonomy places the organism in Eukaryota, Metazoa, Chordata, Actinopteri, Salmoniformes, Salmonidae. The transcript has 4 exons. The record is from RefSeq and is a predicted model, not a curated record.